AGAGUUUGAUCCUGGCUCAGGACGAACGCUGGCGGCGUGCUUAACACAUGCAAGUCGAGCGAGAGAGAUGUCUUCGGACAUCAAUCUAGCGGCGGACGGGUGAGUAACACGUGGGCAACCUGCCUUAGUGAGGGGGAUAGCCUUCCGAAAGGAAGAUUAAUACCGCAUAGAAUAAUAUGUACACAUGUAUAUAUUAAGAAAGGAGAAAUCCGCACUAAGAUGGGCCCGCGGCGCAUUAGCUAGUUGGAGAGGUAACGGCUCACCAAGGCAACGAUGCGUAGCCGACCUGAGAGGGUGAACGGCCACAUUGGAACUGAGAGACGGUCCAGACUCCUACGGGAGGCAGCAGUGGGGAAUAUUGCACAAUGGAGGGAACUCUGAUGCAGCAACGCCGCGUGAGUGAAGAAGGUCUUCGGAUUGUAAAGCUCUGUUAAUCGGGACGAAAAAAAUGACGGUACCGAUAGAGGAAGCCACGGCUAACUACGUGCCAGCAGCCGCGGUAAUACGUAGGUGGCGAGCGUUGUCCGGAAUUACUGGGCGUAAAGGAUGCGUAGGUGGAUAAUUAAGUCAGAUGUGAAAAUCCCGGGCUCAACUUGGGAACUGCAUUUGAAACUGGAUAUCUAGAGUGCAGGAGAGGGAAGCGGAAUUCCUAGUGUAGCGGUGAAAUGCGUAGAUAUUAGGAAGAACACCAGUGGCGAAGGCGGCUUUCUGGACUGUAACUGACACUGAGGCAUGAAAGCGUGGGGAGCAAACAGGAUUAGAUACCCUGGUAGUCCACGCCGUAAACGAUGGAUACUAGG
This 800-nucleotide ribosomal RNA is filed under the name uncultured bacterium. Its description in RNAcentral is "bacterial SSU rRNA". It matches the Rfam family "Bacterial small subunit ribosomal RNA", at positions 8 to 820 of the family's 1533-position model. The record is from RNAcentral.